This 468-nucleotide ribosomal RNA is filed under the name uncultured bacterium. RNAcentral's name for it is "bacterial SSU rRNA". It matches the Rfam family "Bacterial small subunit ribosomal RNA", at positions 332 to 793 of the family's 1533-position model. The record is from RNAcentral.
CGCACUCCUACGGGAGGCAGCAGUGGGGAAUAUUGCACAAUGGGCGCAAGCCUGAUGCAGCCAUGCCGCGUGUAUGAAGAAGGCCUUCGGGUUGUAAAGUACUUUCAGCAGUGAGGAAGGUGGGUAUGUUAAUAGCAUAUUCAUUUGACGUUAGCUGCAGAAGAAGCACCGGCUAACUCCGUGCCAGCAGCCGCGGUAAUACGGAGGGUGCGAGCGUUAAUCGGAAUUACUGGGCGUAAAGCGCAUGCAGGUGGUUUGUUAAGUCAGAUGUGAAAGCCCGGGGCUCAACCUCGGAAUUGCAUUUGAAACUGGCAAACUAGAGUACUGUAGAGGGGGUAGAAUUUCAGGUGUAGCGGUGAAAUGCGUAGAGAUCUGAAGGAAUACCGGUGGCGAAGGCGGCCCCCUGGACAGAUACUGACACUCAGAUGCGAAAGCGUGGGGAGCAAACAGGAUUAGAUACCCUGGUAG